Schistosoma curassoni is the source of this 78-nucleotide non-coding RNA. Lineage: Eukaryota; Metazoa; Platyhelminthes; Trematoda; Strigeidida; Schistosomatidae. The record is from Rfam.
AGCCCCCUGUAUCCUUGCUGAGAUUUCGUCACACACCAAACCACAAGGGCUGAUAAAACUCUCAAGAUAAGUGAAGCG